Molecule: long non-coding RNA, 468 nt
Organism: Gossypium arboreum
Lineage: Eukaryota; Viridiplantae; Streptophyta; Magnoliopsida; Malvales; Malvaceae
Exons: 2
Source: RefSeq, a predicted model, not a curated record
UUUCAUGUCUUUUGUAUUAAAGAAUUAAAUGGAUGAAAUAUGAAGUUUUAUUAAAAGAAAAAGGGGUGAAAAGAACAAAGUUUUGUCCAUCUUUGUUCAUCAUAGCUGAAAGUUAGAGAAGAGAAAGGAGAGGAGAAAGCUCUUGAGUGUUCGGUCACUUGGGGAAGAAAAUUGAAGGAAAUCCCCAACCAUAGUGGGUUUGGAGCUGUGAGGGAAUUCGGAGUGGCCACCCGUUCUGAAAGUUUGAUUUUCUUCUGGUGAACUGGACAUCCUUUUAUUUACGUUUCAAGUUUUGGGGCUUUUAAAUGUAAUAAGGCCGCUUAAUUAUUUUUAUGGUUUUAAUAUGUAUUACUAAGAUAGGUAAUACUUAUAUUUAACUGUUGAAAUUGGAUAGCUUUAGGGCGCGUUUUCAAAAACAACAGUUGAUUUCAAAAUAACACGACAACAAGCAAAGCUUCCGCAAUGAAA